Molecule: ribosomal RNA, 502 nt
Filed under: uncultured bacterium
Lineage: Bacteria
Description: bacterial SSU rRNA
Rfam family: Bacterial small subunit ribosomal RNA
Source: RNAcentral
UGAACGCUGGCGGCGUGCUUAACACAUGCAAGUCGUACGAGAACUCUUUAGCUUGCUAAAGAUAGUAAAGUGGCGCACGGGUGAGUAACGCGUGGGUAAUCUACCCCUGAAUUCGGGAUAACAUUGCGAAAGCGAUGCUAAUACCGGAUAACAUCUUUUGAAUUUCGGUUUAAAAGAUCAAAGAUGGUCUCUACAUGUAAGCUAUCGUUUGGGGAUGAGCCCGCGUACCAUUAGCUUGUUGGUAGGGUAAUGGCCUACCAAGGCGACGAUGGUUAGCUGGUCUGAGAGGAUGAUCAGCCACACUGGAACUGACACACGGUCCAGACUCCUACGGGAGGCAGCAGUGAGGAAUUUUGCGCAAUGGGGGAAACCCUGACGCAGCAACGCCGCGUGAGUGAUGAAGGCUUUCGGGUCGUAAAACUCUGUCAAGUGGGAAGAAAUUGGUAAAUGUUAAUACCAUUUAUCAUUGACGGUACCACUGAAGGAAGCACCGGCUAACUCC